This 510-nucleotide ribosomal RNA is filed under the name Candida albicans. RNAcentral describes it as "eukaryotic LSU rRNA". The stretch from base 143 to 296 matches the Rfam family "5.8S ribosomal RNA". Lineage: Eukaryota; Fungi; Ascomycota; Pichiomycetes; Serinales; Debaryomycetaceae. The record is from RNAcentral.
GGAAACUGAUUGCUUAUUGCACCACAUGUGUUUUUCUUUGAAACAAACUUGCUUUGGCGGUGGGCCCAGCCUGCCGCCAGAGGUCUAAACUUACAACCAAUUUUUUAUCAACUUGUCACACCAGAUUAUUACUAAUAGUCAAAACUUUCAACAACGGAUCUCUUGGUUCUCGCAUCGAUGAAGAACGCAGCGAAAUGCGAUACGUAAUAUGAAUUGCAGAUAUUCGUGAAUCAUCGAAUCUUUGAACGCACAUUGCGCCCUCUGGUAUUCCGGAGGGCAUGCCUGUUUGAGCGUCGUUUCUCCCUCAAACCGCUGGGUUUGGUGUUGAGCAAUACGACUUGGGUUUGCUUGAAAGACGGUAGUGGUAAGGCGGGAUCGCUUUGACAAUGGCUUAGGUCUAACCAAAAACAUUGCUUGCGGCGGUAACGUCCACCACGUAUAUCUUCAAACUUUGACCUCAAAUCAGGUAGGACUACCCGCUGAACUUAAGCAUAUCAAAAGCCGGAGGAA